This 491-nucleotide ribosomal RNA is filed under the name uncultured bacterium. RNAcentral's name for it is "partial 16S ribosomal RNA". It matches the Rfam family "Bacterial small subunit ribosomal RNA", at positions 28 to 507 of the family's 1533-position model. The record is from RNAcentral.
GAUGAACGCUAGCUACAGGCUUAACACAUGCCAGUCGAGGGGAAACGACAUUGAAGCUUGCUUCGAUGGUCGUCGACCGGCGCACGGGUGAGUAACGCGUAUCCAACCUGCCUCUGACCAAGGGAUAACCCGUCGAAAGUCGGCCUAAUACCUUAUGCAGUCGUCGGAAGUCAUCUGAUGACGACGAAAGAUUUCAUCGGUGAGAGAUGGGGAUGCGUCUGAUUAGCUUGUUGGCGGGGUAACGGCCCACCAAGGCAACGAUCAGUAGGGGUUCUGAGAGGAAGGUCCCCCACAUUGGAACUGGGACACGGUCCAAACUCCUACGGGAGGCAGCAGUGAGGAAUAUUGGUCAAUGGGCGAGAGCCUGAACCAGCCAAGUAGCGUGCAGGAUGACGGCCCUAUGGGUUGUAAACUGCUUUUAUGCGGGGAUAAAGUGAGGGACGUGUCCUUCAUUGCAGGUACCGCAUGAAUAAGGACCGGCUAAUUCCGUG